GCAUCGAUCAUAAUCAGCUAUAGGAUCAGUAAACAGAUCAGUGUGGCUCAGGCGUUACUCGCUUUCGGUUUCUUCCGGACGAACGGACGCUGAAUACGUAUUGUUUCUGUUGAUUGUUUACUCUCAGUCGAUUUAACGACACAAACUGAGAACUGUUAGCCCGGCAACAAUGUUGGGAGAGGGCAGAGGGGUACGCUCUUUGAAGUGGAUCUCCAUCCUCAGAUUUAUUUCUGGGAAAUGAGUUCUUGCCAAUCAGCAGGAAUAUUACGGGCAUUAUAAACAGCCGUCGCAGGUGAGAACCAUAAUUCAAUCGAAUAAUAGUGGAAUGUUUUCUCAGGCAUUCGGACGAUACAAGUGUUCCAUUGCGCGUUGGCUUUACAGAAUUUCCCCAAUUGCGUUCUAAUUUCGCCCGUCUCUCGGCAGAAGGAUUCGAAAGAGCUACAGUUACCGUUUCCAGAAUGUGUGGCACCACAUAUGUACAUAUGUUUCGUGACUAAUGUCGUAGGUGACGUGACGUCGAGGGACCUCCGGUCCCCAGAUUGGUUCGCCCAUGGAUGUAUGAAUUAUUAAUAGGACAAAAAUGUGUGUGGAUUCAAAAUUCUUUGCAAUUAUUUCGAUUCCCCCUCUCCCUCUCUCAACAGAGAGUCAAAUCAAUUAAAUUUGAUAUAAUUUGCCAACUGUUUUGGUUUUGUGGUUACAAAACAAUUUCUAUACGAAAUACAUACUUGAGUUUUGAAAUAUGAAA
Drosophila pseudoobscura is the source of this 745-nucleotide long non-coding RNA. RefSeq lists it as uncharacterized. The transcript is spliced from 2 exons. The record is from RefSeq and is a predicted model, not a curated record. Lineage: Eukaryota; Metazoa; Arthropoda; Insecta; Diptera; Drosophilidae.